GGGUGACAUAAUCUUAUCAGAUUAGGGUUACAUCGAAAGUCUAGGUCCACUGCUGGUUAGAUUUGAAACCCAAUAGGUCACACACUUAAGAAUUUAGUUUUGGUUUGAUUUAAUUAGAGUUUAAUAUAAAUUCUUUAAGUUAAUUUGAUAUGCUAGCACAUUGUAUUAAUCUAAGUUCCCAAAUUGGUUUGGUUCAAAGUAUUUGAGCUAACCUAGACCAGUUGGCUUUGACCAAAUAGGAUUGGGUCAAUUUGGAUUGGAUCCUUAUCUAACUUAGAUCAAUUUUAAGUGAAGGACUCCUCCACAUUCAGCAAAAGCCACACAAAAAUAUAAUUGCCGCCCACCUCAAAUCAACGGGAGAAAUAAAGAGUCCUUCUUAAAGAAGGCUCUUUACUAAACGCGUUGCCUUAGAAGAUAAAUCAGAAAUCCUAUGUUUUAACAUCAAAAAUUAUUGAAACUUUUAUGGCAUGUAGAGAAGGAAGAGUCCUUCUGCUCUAAAUAUCUAAAUUAUCAAAAAUUUACUCGAUGAAUUUAUUUGGUGCAUGGGAAUUUGGAGCACCAAAAGUUGGUACCCCUUCAUCCCAUGUAACAUCCCUUAGUCCCCUAUUUAUAGGGGAUGCUCCAGAUGGCUUCUGACUGAGAUUUUUGGGUGAACCAAAGAGAAGGGAUGUGAAAAUUAUAAAAAAAAUCUAAAAAAAAUUUGAGAAAAAAAAGAAGAGAAUUUGGGUGGCAAAAGUUGCUACAAGGGUGGUGAGAUUUUCAGCAAGUAUUGCUGGAGUGUCCUAGGAUUUGAUUUUUCUAUAUGUUGGAGCCAAAAAUUAAAUCCUAAACUAUAUGACAAUUGAAGAGUGUCUUCUUGAUAUUGUUUUGAUGGUAAGAUCAAAAGUAAGCUAGAAGCUGAAGUAAGCUAGAAGCUGAAGCUGAAGUAUUCUUGAGAAGACAAGGCUGUGGCUG
RNAcentral lists this long non-coding RNA (954 nucleotides) under Elaeis guineensis (African oil palm). Its description in RNAcentral is "long non-coding RNA (EGUI_LNC048035)". Lineage: Eukaryota; Viridiplantae; Streptophyta; Magnoliopsida; Arecales; Arecaceae. The record is from RNAcentral.